CUGAAACGAAGACUGAGAACACUUGGACUUAGUCGACACAAGGAAGUUAUUGAUCAUCAGAGAGUAAUACAUGCCGUUCAGAGUGAGUUACAAGGAAGUGGUUGUUGUCUUGGCUACAGGAGCAUGACGGAACGUUUGCGUAAUGUGCACGGUUUGAGGGUUCCUAGGGACUACGUUAUGAAGCUUUUAAGGGUCAUGGACCCCGACAGGGUUGCAGUUCGAAGAUCUCGCCGCUUUACACGGCGUUUAUAUCACAACAAAGGGCCAAAUUAUCUCAUACACAUCGAUGGCUACGACAAACUGAAACCAUUUGGGUUUGCUAUCCAUGGUGCAAUAUGUGGAGAAUAGAAAGAUGGUGGCUGUCCAUGCGACAAGGUGGAGGUGAUUUUUGGAUAAAUCUCUUCAAGGACAUGGAAUCGCAGGGUAUAGUGGCAACAGACAACACGCUUCACAUG
RNAcentral lists this unclassified non-coding RNA (455 nucleotides) under Haliotis rubra (blacklip abalone). Its description in RNAcentral is "uncharacterized LOC124285060, transcript variant X3". The record is from RNAcentral. Lineage: Eukaryota; Metazoa; Mollusca; Gastropoda; Lepetellida; Haliotidae.